Long non-coding RNA from Nycticebus coucang (slow loris), 861 nucleotides. RefSeq lists it as uncharacterized. NCBI's taxonomy places the organism in Eukaryota, Metazoa, Chordata, Mammalia, Primates, Lorisidae. The record is from RefSeq and is a predicted model, not a curated record. The transcript is spliced from 3 exons.
AAUACAGUCAGAACAUAUUCCAACAGUGCUCUGAGAGGGGCAAGGGGCGCUGAGCCACCACAGUCCUCUCCUGCUCUCAGCUUCACUUCCCUCCUUUGUGACCAACGUAACAACUGCUGCCCAGGGGCAAGUCUAGGAAACCCCCGCCAAGCAGAGCUGUAACCUGACCCAGAAGACACACAGUCCUUUGGCAGGAAGGAGCAACUCACCCAGGAGCAAGAAGAGAAAAGAAAGGGGGUGCUCACCCAGAGGGGUGGGGUGAAAGAGAAGCACUGCAUCUUUUAUCAGGCCAAGACAACCUAUGCAUGCUGAGCUUUUCUGGAUACUGGAUGAUGUGCAGAAUUCGGUGACAAGUGGCUUGAAGAGGUUGUUGGCUUCUCUUGGGGGUUGGCACUUGAAGGGACCUGGGAGAAUGGAGCAGAGAUCAUCAGUACACGCAUCAGCCUGACUGCUCUGCUGGGGGCUAAGUGCCCUUACAACUUUGUCCCACAAGAGCCAUUAGUAACUUGAAGUUUGCAUCAACUUGAAGCACAACUCAUGAAGACUGCUUUCCUUCAUCACUCACGCAGAGACUGCCAAUAUUUGGACCAAGUCCCACAGAGUAUUUUUUCACUUGGUUGAAGUUGUUUUCAAUGUUUUCCAGUGAUAAACGGUCAAGCCCUUGUAAUGGCAGUUGCUGAAAUGACACUUUAACCCAUCAUUGACUACUAGAGACUAGAAAUCAUCGCCAAGCAAGCAUUGUGGCCCAAGACCUUCAAACUGGCCCUCAAUAAAGUGGUGCUGAUUCUGGAUGGUGAAGGAAUUUAAGGUGUGUGUGUGUAAAAGAGAAUCUUGGCUCACAAUUUGGGAGUUUUGAACUGG